CAGCCUGAUGCAGCGACGCCGCGUGAGGGAUGACGGCCUUCGGGUUGUAAACCUCUUUCAGCAGGGACGAAGCGCAAGUGACGGUACCUGUAGAAGAAGGACCGGCCAACUACGUGCCAGCAGCCGCGGUAAUACGUAGGGUCCGAGCGUUGUCCGGAAUUACUGGGCGUAAAGAGCUCGUAGGUGGUUUGUCGCGUUGUUCGUGAAAACUCACAGCUUAACUGUGGGCGUGCGGGCGAUACGGGCAGACUUGAGUACUGCAGGGGAGACUGGAAUUCCUGGUGUAGCGGUGGAAUGCGCAGAUAUCAGGAGGAACACCGGUGGCGAAGGCGGGUCUCUGGGCAGUAACUGACGCUGAGGAGCGAAAGCGUGGGGAGCGAACAGGAUUAGAUACCCUGGUAGUCCACGCCGUAAACGGUGGGUACUAGGUGUGGGUUUCCUUCCUUGGGAUCCGUGCCGUAGCUAACGCAUUAAGUACCCCGCCUGGGGAGUACGGCCGCAAGGCUAAAACUCAAAGAAAUUGACGGGGGCCCGCACAAGCGGCGGAGCAUGUGGAUUAAUUCGAUGCAACGCGAAGAACCUUACCUGGGUUUGACAUGCACAGGACGUGCCUAGAGAUAGGUAUUCCCUUGUGGCC
RNAcentral lists this ribosomal RNA (637 nucleotides) under Mycobacterium sp. So3Pt_211. Its description in RNAcentral is "bacterial SSU rRNA". It matches the Rfam family "Bacterial small subunit ribosomal RNA", at positions 379 to 1028 of the family's 1533-position model. The record is from RNAcentral. Lineage: Bacteria; Bacillati; Actinomycetota; Actinomycetes; Mycobacteriales; Mycobacteriaceae.